GCGUUCGUAGCCGGGCCGGUAAGUCCUUGGGUAAAUCCUGCGUCUCAAGCGCGGGAAUUCUAAGGAUACUACCGGCCUUGAGGCCGGGAUAGGCGAGAGGUACUCCCGGGGUAGGGGUAAAAUCCUAUAAUCCUGGGGGGACCACCGAUGGCGAAGGCAUCUCGCUGGAACGGGCCUGACGGUGAGGGACGAAACCCAGGGGAGCGAGCCGGAUUAGAUACCCGGGUAGUCCUGGGCGUAAAUGAUGUGGGCUUGGUGUGAGCGCAUCGACGAGGUGCGCUUGUGCCGGAGGGAAGCCGUUAAGCCCACCGCCUGGGGAGUACGGUCGCAAGGCUGAAACUUAA
Molecule: ribosomal RNA, 344 nt
Filed under: uncultured archaeon
Lineage: Archaea
Description: bacterial SSU rRNA
Rfam family: Archaeal small subunit ribosomal RNA
Source: RNAcentral